GAUGAACGCUGGCGGCGUGCCUAAUACAUGCAAGUCGAGCGAACAGACGAGGAGCUUGCUCCUCUGACGUUAGCGGCGGACGGGUGAGUAACACGUGGAUAACCUACCUAUAAGACUGGGAUAACUUCGGGAAACCGGAGCUAAUACCGGAUAAUAUAUUGAACCGCAGGGUUCAAUAGUGAAAGACGGUUUUGCUGUCACUUAUGGAUGGAUCCGCGCCGCAUUAGCUUGUUGGUAAGGUAACGGCUUACCACGGCAACGAUGCGUAGGCGGCCUGAGAGGGCGGCCGGCCUCAGUGGUCCUGCGAUAGGGCCCAGGCGCCUACGGGAGGCAGCAGUGGGGAAUAUUGCACAAUGGUCGGAAGCCUGAUGCAGCAACGCAGCGUGCGGGAUGACGUGCUUCGGGUUGUAAACCGCUUGCGACUGUGCCGAAGCGUGAGUGACGGUAAUGGGUAAAGAAGCACCGGCUAACUACGUG
This 477-nucleotide ribosomal RNA is filed under the name uncultured bacterium. Its description in RNAcentral is "partial 16S ribosomal RNA". It matches the Rfam family "Bacterial small subunit ribosomal RNA", at positions 28 to 507 of the family's 1533-position model. The record is from RNAcentral.